UACGUAGGGGGCAAGCGUUAUCCGGAUUUACUGGGUGUAAAGGGAGCGUAGACGGCGGUGCAAGCCAGAUGUGAAAGCCCGGGGCUCAACCCCGGGACUGCAUUUGGAACUGUGCUGCUAGAGUGUCGGAGAGGCAGGCGGAAUUCCUAGUGUAGCGGUGAAAUGCGUAGAUAUUAGGAGGAACACCAGUGGCGAAGGCGGCCUGCUGGACUGCAACUGACGUUGAGGCUCGAAGGCGUGGGGAGCAAACAGG
This 253-nucleotide ribosomal RNA is filed under the name uncultured bacterium. Its description in RNAcentral is "partial 16S ribosomal RNA". It matches the Rfam family "Bacterial small subunit ribosomal RNA", at positions 524 to 776 of the family's 1533-position model. The record is from RNAcentral.